UACAGAGGUCUCAAGCGUUGUUCGGAAUCACUGGGCGUAAAGCGCACGUAGGCGGCUUUUUAAGUCAGGGGUGAAAUCCUGGAGCUCAACUCCAGAACUGCCUUUGAUACUGAGAAGCUUGAGUCCGGGAGAGGUGAGUGGAACUGCGAGUGUAGAGGUGAAAUUCGUAGAUAUUCGCAAGAACACCAGUGGCGAAGGCGGCUCACUGGCCCGGUACUGACGCUGAGGUGCGAAAGCGUGGGGAGCAAACAGG
This 253-nucleotide ribosomal RNA is filed under the name uncultured bacterium. RNAcentral describes it as "partial 16S ribosomal RNA". It matches the Rfam family "Bacterial small subunit ribosomal RNA", at positions 524 to 776 of the family's 1533-position model. The record is from RNAcentral.